UGAUACCCCACUUUUUUUUGGAUGGCCAACCCAAUCCCCCACACCCCGCGGCAUAAGAAAAGAGCCGUUACAACUUAACAAGUCGCAACGUCGUCGUACGCAAAGAAAGGGUAUUUCAGUACAAUUGGGGUUUAGGGUUCCUUUUAUCAUCAGCCUCCUCCGCCUACAAAUACCAGAACCCGAUUCAAUUCAAGCCAUCGCCAUCGUUCUCUCACCAACAUUUCACCGGCGGAGAAAUCGUAUGUAUGUCGUCGAAGUCUUGAAGUAUCAGGCUGUGUGGUGGCAUGAAGAAAACAGCACGCUGAAAUCAAACACCUACUCCAGAACUUCGACGACAAACAUAUGAUUUUGGUAAGCCCUAAUUUCCGGAGCAUAGAAGCAUAAUAUCGCCUUCUUAGGGUUUAAGUAAGCCCUAAUUUUUGUACCGUUGAUUUGUUGCUUCAUAAAUGGUGAAAUCUCUCAAAAUUAAAUGAUAGAAUUUCAAGUUUCCGGAGCAUAUAUUUAGUGUUAUAUAUCACCAGUAUUAAACAGCUCGAUGUGUAUACAAUUGCAUCGGCGUUACCUGUCUCCUGGCACAUUUCUUCACUUUUACGAAAGGAUUUAUUUGAUUCUUAGGUAUUUUUUGUUCUGAUUUUGUGCAAAUAUUUGAUAUUUAGGUAUUUAGGUUGCUUUAUAUUUUUAACUAAUUAGCUGAUUUUGCAUCGGAAUAGUCAAUGAUUAAGCUUUAUUUAUACUCCAAUUUUCGAAAACUUUGGAUUCUGAAGGUGUAGAUCUGUAGAAAUUUUAGUAGAAAGUUGUAGGUGAUGGAUGUGAUGAUUAUUUCCCCAGAUGAUCGAAUCUGAAAUUACUGAGCGCUCACUUUAUGUUUCUCCUUUUCGAGAACUUCAAGCCAGAAAUCUGAUCCAUCUUCAAAAAUGUAUUUUGAUUAGUUUUUAUUUUAUUAUUUUUUGUUAUCUGUUUUGAUAGUUAGAGAGUGGAAAUGAUGAUUAUUUCCCCAGAUGAUCGAAGUUGAUUAUACUGAGCGCAUUUAAUUAUAAUAUUCUCUAUUAUAUUAUAGAGAAUCCAAGCCAGAAAUCUGAUCCUAUCUCUGUUUUUCUUGAUUAAAAUUCGAGUUCCUCUGAUGAUGAUUCAAAUAAAAACUUUCGUUCUUCCGAGGAUGAUAUAUGUCCAUGCGGAAACGAUUAUUGGAGACCUGAACUGAAGAGGCUAAACUACAUUUCUGUUCAAAGUUUGAUCCAUUGAGUUCAACUAUCUUUUGUUGAAUUUGUUCAUACCUUUUUAAUAGAUAAUGUUCAAAAGCUAUGAAUUUUAAGAAUAAGAACCAAUUUAGAUAUGUUACAAGUACUCAGUUUUACCAGAUAUCUAUGACUUUUGAGAACCAAUUAACAUACAUUUUUCUUCUAUUAUUGUAAUCGUAAGUCGAAUGAUCAAAUGAUAAACGAACACAAGAAAUACAAUAGAUAUGUCUUUGCUAGCAAAUGCAAAUCGGAGACGCCUGGUGUUUUGAUGGACCAGGGACCGCGAUGAUCCCCAAUGGUAGCUGUGACUUGCGAUUAGCUGUGACUUAGCGAUUUAGAGUAUCUAUGAAGAUGUUAAUGUAUAACGUUUUCUUGACCGGAUUAAGUGUUGCAUUGAGCUUUGUUUUUGAAACAAAUAUAUGUUUGUUUUUUACUUUUCCGAAGAUUUCUUAGUAUGGUGUAUUGUAUAUCUUAGAAUGAUCUUAAGCCACAUAUAAGUGUGUCGAUGGCUAUGUGAUAUUUUAGUUUGAAUGUGGACCUGUUUUGUUUGUUUUUCUUAGAGUUUGAUCAUUGUUUAAAAUGAUACACAGAAAGCUGCAUGA
Helianthus annuus (common sunflower) is the source of this 1840-nucleotide long non-coding RNA. RefSeq lists it as uncharacterized. The transcript is spliced from 2 exons. NCBI's taxonomy places the organism in Eukaryota, Viridiplantae, Streptophyta, Magnoliopsida, Asterales, Asteraceae. The record is from RefSeq and is a predicted model, not a curated record.